AUGCCAUGCGCUUGUCAUAGCCUGAACCUUACUCUUAGUGAUAUGGCAAAAUCUUGCGGUAAAGCUGUUACCUUCUUUGGAGUUGUGCAAAGAAUUUAUAUAUUGUUUUCAAGCUCUACUAAAAGAUGGCAGCUAUUGCUUGAUCAUGUUCCAAAAAUGACAGUUAAGUCUUUGUGUAACACUCGAUGGGAGAGUCGAAUAAAGAGUGUUCAGGCUAUCAGAUAUCAAGCACCCGAGUUAAGAAAAACAUUACUGGAAUUGAAGACAACUUCUACCGAUGACGCCAAGACUAAGAGGGACGCAAAAUCUUUGGCUAGCGCACUUGAGAAAUUUGAAUUUUUACUUGGCAUGGUCAUUUGGCAUGACAUUUUGUUCACUGUAAACAUGGUGAGUAAGAAGUUGCAGUCUAAGUUUGUGUGCAUUGAUGUUACUCUUAAACAGAUUGAAGGUGCCAUCUCAUAUUUUAAGAAGUACAGAAAUGACGGCUUUGCAACUAGUCUGGAUAUUGCGAGAUCUAUUGCAAUUGACAUGGGUGUACAACCUUUGUUUCCUGUCAAGAGACGUAUUACUAGAAAAAGACAGUAUGAUGAAAUUAGUGGCAAUGACGAAAAUAACCAGAAUGAAGAAACGCAAGCAAGUGAGGUGGAAUCAUUUAGAGUUAAAUACUUUUUGGUGAUGAUUGAUGUUGCAAUUGCUUCCCUAACUACUAGAUUUGAGGAACUGAAGACAUUUGGGAGCAUAUUUGGUUUCUUGUUCAACUCGAAAGAGUUGAAGUCCUUGGGUUAUAAUGAUCUAAGAAGAUGUUGCACUAAUUUUGUCAACAAAUUCACUCAUGGUAAGUCAGCAGAUGUCGAUCUAGAUGAUUUCGUUUCUGAACUAAAAGUACUGCAGAUGACAUUGCCAAACACAUUCAUGUCAGCGGAUCAGAUAUUUGAGUUUGUUAGAGAUGCGGAUUGUUAUCUAAAUGUCUCAAUUGCUUAUCGUAUCCUUUUGACUGUACCUGUGACUAUUGCAUCAGCUGAAAGGAGUUUCUCAAAAUUGAAACUAUUGAAAAAUUAUUUGAGGUCAACGAAGUCUCAAAAAAGAUUGAAUGGAUUGGCCAUGUGCUGCAUUGGGAAGAAUAUGUUGGAUAGUAUAGAUCUUGACACUCUCAUUGAUGAUUUUGCGUCAAAAAAUGCAUGA
This 1182-nucleotide ribosomal RNA is filed under the name Triticum aestivum (bread wheat). RNAcentral's name for it is "partial small subunit ribosomal RNA". Lineage: Eukaryota; Viridiplantae; Streptophyta; Magnoliopsida; Poales; Poaceae. The record is from RNAcentral.